Molecule: RNase P RNA, 362 nt
Filed under: Neisseriaceae bacterium
Lineage: Bacteria; Pseudomonadati; Pseudomonadota; Betaproteobacteria; Neisseriales; Neisseriaceae
Description: RNase P RNA component class A
Rfam family: Bacterial RNase P class A
About the family: Ribonuclease P (RNase P) is a ubiquitous endoribonuclease, found in archaea, bacteria and eukarya as well as chloroplasts and mitochondria. Its best characterised activity is the generation of mature 5'-ends of tRNAs by cleaving the 5'-leader elements of precursor-tRNAs.
Source: RNAcentral
GAAAUUAGCUUUGCAAUCGCGAUUAGUUUUCUAAUCGAGGAAAGUCCGGACACCUCAUGGAUAAAAGUGCUGGGUAACGCCCAGGGACUAUUAAUUAGUUACGGAAAGUGGCACAGAAAAUAUACCGCCAUUUUUAAUGGUAAGGGUGAAAAGGUGCGGUAAGAGCGCACCGCAUUUAUAGUGAUAUAAAUGGCACGCAAAACCCCACUUGGUGCAAGACCAAAUAGGCCUCACUCGAUUGUAUCCUGGUCACUUAGUUAGGCGGGUAGGUUGCUUGAAUCUAUGGGUAACUAUAGAUCUAGAUGAAUGAUUGCUAGAGUUUUACUCGAUACAGAAUCCGGCUUAUACGGCUAAUUUCCUUU